CAGUAGCCGCGGUAAUACAGAGGGUGCAAGCGUUAAUCGGAAUUACUGGGCGUAAAGCGCGCGUAGGUGGUUUGUUAAGUUGGAUGUGAAAUCCCCGGGCUCAACCUGGGAACUGCAUCCAAAACUGGCAGGCUAGAGUAGGGCAGAGGGUGGUGGAAUUUCUUGUGUAGCGGUGAAAUGCGUAGAUAUAGGAAGGAACACCAGUGGCGAAGGCGACCACCUGGGCUCAUACUGACACUGAGGUGCGAAAGCGUGGGGAGCAAACAGGAUUAGAUACCCGCGUAGUCCCUGUCUCUUAUAC
RNAcentral lists this ribosomal RNA (301 nucleotides) under uncultured bacterium. RNAcentral's name for it is "partial 16S ribosomal RNA". It matches the Rfam family "Bacterial small subunit ribosomal RNA", at positions 509 to 807 of the family's 1533-position model. The record is from RNAcentral.